UGUCUCAGCUGGUAAAGAAUCUGCCUGCAAUGCAGGAGACCUGGGUUCGAUUCCUGG
This 57-nucleotide transfer RNA is filed under the name Capra hircus (goat). It matches the Rfam family "tRNA", at positions 8 to 63 of the family's 71-position model. Rfam says of the family: Transfer RNA (tRNA) molecules are approximately 80 nucleotides in length. Their secondary structure includes four short double-helical elements and three loops (D, anti-codon, and T loops). Lineage: Eukaryota; Metazoa; Chordata; Mammalia; Artiodactyla; Bovidae. The record is from Rfam by way of RNAcentral. RNAcentral also lists the same sequence under 1 other name.